This 1372-nucleotide ribosomal RNA is filed under the name uncultured bacterium. RNAcentral's name for it is "bacterial SSU rRNA". It matches the Rfam family "Bacterial small subunit ribosomal RNA", at positions 28 to 1381 of the family's 1533-position model. The record is from RNAcentral.
GAUGAACGCUGGCGGCGUGCCUAAUACAUGCAAGUCGAGCGAACGGACGAGAAGCUUGCUUCUCUGAUGUUAGCGGCGGACGGGUGAGUAACACGUGGAUAACCUACCUAUAAGACUGGGAUAACUUCGGGAAACCGGAGCUAAUACCGGAUAAUAUUUUGAACCGCAUGGUUCAAAAGUGAAAGACGGUCUUGCUGUCACUUAUAGAUGGAUCCGCGCUGCAUUAGCUAGUUGGUAAGGUAACGGCUUACCAAGGCAACGAUGCAUAGCCGACCUGAGAGGGUGAUCGGCCACACUGGAACUGAGACACGGUCCAGACUCCUACGGGAGGCAGCAGUAGGGAAUCUUCCGCAAUGGGCGAAAGCCUGACGGAGCAACGCCGCGUGAGUGAUGAAGGUCUUCGGAUCGUAAAACUCUGUUAUUAGGGAAGAACAUAUGUGUAAGUAACUGUGCACAUCUUGACGGUACCUAAUCAGAAAGCCACGGCUAACUACGUGCCGGCAGCCGCGGUAAUACGUAGGUGGCAAGCGUUAUCCGGAAUUAUUGGGCGUAAAGCGCGCGUAGGCGGUUUUUUAAGUCUGAUGUGAAAGCCCACGGCUCAACCGUGGAGGGUCAUUGGAAACUGGAAAACUUGAGUGCAGAAGAGGAAAGUGGAAUUCCAUGUGUAGCGGUGAAAUGCGCAGAGAUAUGGAGGAACACCAGUGGCGAAGGCGACUUUCUGGUCUGUAACUGACGCUGAUGUGCGAAAGCGUGGGGAUCAAACAGGAUUAGAUACCCUGGUAGUCCACGCCGUAAACGAUGAGUGCUAAGUGUUAGGGGGUUUCCGCCCCUUAGUGCUGCAGCUAACGCAUUAAGCACUCCGCCUGGGGAGUACGACCGCAAGGUUGAAACUCAAAGGAAUUGACGGGGACCCGCACAAGCGGUGGAGCAUGUGGUUUAAUUCGAAGCAACGCGAAGAACCUUACCAAAUCUUGACAUCCUUUGACAACUCUAGAGAUAGAGCCUUCCCCUUCGGGGGACAAAGUGACAGGUGGUGCAUGGUUGUCGUCAGCUCGUGUCGUGAGAUGUUGGGUUAAGUCCCGCAACGAGCGCAACCCUUAAGCUUAGUUGCCAUCAUUAAGUUGGGCACUCUAAGUUGACUGCCGGUGACAAACCGGAGGAAGGUGGGGAUGACGUCAAAUCAUCAUGCCCCUUAUGAUUUGGGCUACACACGUGCUACAAUGGACAAUACAAAGGGCAGCGAAACCGCGAGGUCAUGCAAAUCCCAUAAAGUUGUUCUCAGUUCGGAUUGUAGUCUGCAACUCGACUACAUGAAGCUGGAAUCGCUAGUAAUCGUAGAUCAGCAUGCUACGGUGAAUACGUUCCCGGGUCU